AUAUUAAUGAAAAAUUAAAAUAUGAAUCAAGCAAAGUAUAAGCACAAGCAUUGAUUGCACUCAAUAUUAAGUCUUUGUAAUUAAUUCAUAUAUAGAAAUACAACAUUACAAAAGAAAUUUAAGAUAUAUUGGCUAAGAUCCAUAAGCCCUUGGAAGUUAUUUGUGAGAUAUUUUUAAUGAAGAAAUUAUAUAAUCUUUAAUAUAUGGACAAAAAAUCUAUAGACAUUUUUUUUGGAGAGAUUUUUGAUUUUAGAGAUUAAUAUAUUGAAGUUGGUGGUGAAAUGUA
RNAcentral lists this long non-coding RNA (286 nucleotides) under Physcomitrium patens. RNAcentral's name for it is "long non-coding RNA (PPAT_LNC001286)". The record is from RNAcentral. Lineage: Eukaryota; Viridiplantae; Streptophyta; Bryopsida; Funariales; Funariaceae.